RNAcentral lists this unclassified non-coding RNA (214 nucleotides) under Hevea brasiliensis (rubber tree). The record is from RNAcentral. Lineage: Eukaryota; Viridiplantae; Streptophyta; Magnoliopsida; Malpighiales; Euphorbiaceae.
GAGAAAACUUGGUGAGACUGAGUCCUCUGGUAGUUUCAGCAACAAAGAAAUGAAACCCUCGCUUUUUACAAAUCCAAAUCCAUGGCCUCCACAACAACAUAGAGUUGUUAAUCAUGUUGAUGACAGCAACAGCACCUUGUUAGAACGCAGUGGAACUGCCAGCCAAAUUUAUGGUUAUUCUCUGGCCCCGUCGGUAUUGCAUCAAACUGUUGCA